ACUCCUACGGGAGGCAGCAGUGGGGAAUAUUGCACAAUGGGCGCAAGCCUGAUGCAGCCAUGCCGCGUGUGUGAAGAAGGCCUUCGGGUUGUAAAGCACUUUCAGUCGUGAGGAAGGUAGUGUAGUUAAUAGCUGCAUUAUUUGUACGUUAGCGACAGAAGAAGCACCGGCUAACUCCGUGCCAGCAGCCGCGGUAAGUACGGAGGGUGCGAGCGUUAAUCGGAAUUACUGGGCGUAAAGCGCAUGCAGGUGGUUUGUUAAGUCAGAUGUGAAAGCCCGGGGCUCAACCUCGGAAUAGCAUUUGAAACUGGCAGACUAGAGUACUGUAGAGGGGGUUAGGAAUUUCAGGUGUAGCGGUGAAAUGCGUAGAGAUCUGAAGGAAUACCGGUGGCGAAGGCGGCCCCUGGACAGAUACUGACACUCAGAUGCGAAAGCGUGGGAGCAAACAGGAUUAGAUA
This 458-nucleotide ribosomal RNA is filed under the name uncultured bacterium. RNAcentral describes it as "bacterial SSU rRNA". It matches the Rfam family "Bacterial small subunit ribosomal RNA", at positions 335 to 784 of the family's 1533-position model. The record is from RNAcentral.